Molecule: ribosomal RNA, 497 nt
Filed under: uncultured bacterium
Lineage: Bacteria
Description: partial 16S ribosomal RNA
Rfam family: Bacterial small subunit ribosomal RNA
Source: RNAcentral
GAUGAACGCUGGCGGCGUGCCUAAUACAUGCAAGUCGAGCGAACAGACGAGGAGCUUGCUCCUCUGACGUUAGCGGCGGACGGGUGAGUAACACGUGGAUAACCUACCUAUAAGACUGGGAUAACUUCGGGAAACCGGAGCUAAUACCGGAUAAUAUAUUGAACCGCAUGGUUCAAUAGUGAAAGACGGUUUUGCUGUCACUUAUAGAUGGAUCCGCGCCGCAUUAGCUAGUUGGUAAGGUAACGGCUUACCAAGGCAACGAUGCGUAUCCGACCUGAGAGGGUGAUCGGCCACACUGGAACUGAGACACGGUCCAGACUCCUACGGGAGGCAGCAGUAGGGAAUCUUCCGCAAUGGGCGAAAGCCUGACGGAGCAACGCCGCGUGAGUGAUGAAGGUCUUCGGAUCGUAAAACUCUGUUAUUAGGGAAGAACAAAUGUGUAAGUAACUAUGCACGUCUUGACGGUACCUAAUCAGAAAGCCACGGCUAACUACGUG